CUUCCUUCCUAGCAGUUGAGAGUUCAUUAUCAGCAGGAGGAUAAUUCAUUAUCAGGCACAAUAGAAGGAAGGAGAGAGAGGGGGAGAAGGAAGGAUAGAGAGAGAAUGAAAGAGAGAAAAGAGAGAAAAGAGAGAGGCACAGGGAGAAGUAGGGAGAGACAACAGUAGAGGAAAGGGGGCCGAAAUAGAAAGAUGGGGUGAUGAUGACAGAGGUGGCCGAGAACGUGGGUCAGAGGCUACAGUCAUGCUUGACCUGGAACCUCCUUCUUCCCCUGAAGGCUUUGAAAGGAGGGGGUAGGGUAGUUAUAGGCUGUCGGGUAGCUUCUCUCACACCAUCUGUCCUCUGCUGCAGAGUUCCUAUUUAAGCCCCAUUUCUCUCCCUUAAAGUCUCUACUGUAUCUGUGUCUGUGGAUGGUAAAGUCUCUACUGUAUCUGUGUCUGUGGAUGUUAAAGUCUCUACUGUAUCUGUGUCUGUGGAUGGUAAAGUCUCUACUGUAUCUGUGUCUGUGGAUGGUA
Molecule: long non-coding RNA, 516 nt
Filed under: Salmo salar (Atlantic salmon)
Lineage: Eukaryota; Metazoa; Chordata; Actinopteri; Salmoniformes; Salmonidae
Description: lncRNA (ENSSSAG00000100524.1)
Source: RNAcentral